Andrographis paniculata is the source of this 2265-nucleotide long non-coding RNA. RefSeq lists it as uncharacterized. The record is from RefSeq and is a predicted model, not a curated record. The transcript is spliced from 2 exons. NCBI's taxonomy places the organism in Eukaryota, Viridiplantae, Streptophyta, Magnoliopsida, Lamiales, Acanthaceae.
ACUUGAUUAAUCAACCCCAAUUUCUUUUUUAUUAGAUAACAAGUCAAGAAUUUCCACAAUUUCAUCUACGCCACUGAAACUGCGAUUGGGCUUCGAACAUGGUGGAUACCAUCAUACCAAGUGUACAGUCCAAAUAGCCUUACAGAAAUGCCUGGUGGAGGAUUUAUACUGACUGUAUAAACACUCCUGCUGUUGCCAACAUUGGUGACUGUUCUGGAAACCAUGAGUGUCCCAUUGAGUUUGGGAACUGCCAGAGAUGGGUAAUUGAGAGAGUUGGGAGAAGGUAGAACUUUAGGGCAUAUGAAUAAGGGAUCAAGAUUGGUGGCAUUUUUGAUGCUGCAGAGGUAGAGAAGAUAAUCUGCGUAGGAUGCAUCAUAGACGAGCCCUGGAUCGGCUGCUUUGGUAGGCCUGAAAUGACCUGAUCCAAAUUGGAAUGGAUCUGCUGGAUUGCCGGAUGCAUCGGUAAUUGGCUUGCCUAGGUUGUUGGAGAUUCCCGCUGGGAGUUAAAAGCACAAGUUAGAGAGAUGGAUGAAAAGAUUAUGUACUUUGGGUAUCUUUGAAUUCUAACGCUGAGUGUUCAUAUAUCUACCAGAGGUUACUAAAGCAGAUCGUAUGGCGGCACUGCUCCAAUCAGGGUGUAUGGCUUUAAGAAGGGCCGAUGCCCCGCCGAUGUGAGGACAGGACAUGGAAGUCCCCGACAGGAUAUUAUACUUGACUACACGUUUGUCUUGAUCUAAUUUUGUCGGCGAAGAUGCUUUGCUCCAUGCUGCCAGGAUGUUGAGCCCUGGAGCUGUGAUAUCUGGCUGUUGAUCCAGCAAGUAAAUGCAUUUAGCUCAUCAAGAAACCAAAAGUAGAUGGAGAAAGUGAUCGAUUAAUCAAUCACUAACCUUGAGAAUAUCAGGGGAAAUGGUGCUGGGGCCUCUGCUGGAGAAGGCAGCCAUGAAGGGGGCUGGUUUGGUGUCCAAAACUGUCUUGGCGGGCACAAUAUAGGCCUUUGGUUCUUUGGUGGAGUUGAUGUAAUUAAGAAUCUUGAGAGCAUUUCUGUAAUUGACAGCAGUGGCUGGAAGAACAUGAGCAUCUGCCACGAGCUCAUCUCCAUUGGGCCUACUGUUGCCUAAGACAUACCCAAUCCCUCCUGCUCUUUUUACCUCCAUUCCUUUUCCAACUCUCGUCCCAUUCCCUCUUAAACACAGGACUAUCUUCCCCUUGGCCUUCUCUGGAGAAAGGGAACCUGGCAAGCACUGCCUGCAAUUAUGCAACAAUAUAUAUCCAAGGAAUUAACAUUGGUUUGUUAGAUAGAUAUGGGCAAACAAAUCUAUAAACUGGGAAAUAGAGAGAUUAUGACCCUGAUACGUCCUGGCCCACUCCCGGAUUGAUUAUAUGAGCUGCGUACACCAGUGGGUAGAGCUUGCGCCUCAGCUUAUAUGGACUUACUGUUUGCCCCUGGAGAAAAGAAUUAAACCCAUCACAAAUUAUAUUCAUUUAUUUUAAUUUAUUUUUUAAAAAACCUAAUUAUUAAUACAUUUACCAUGAGGUUCAUUCCAUUUCCAAGCACAAGUGGUGCCAAGAAUGCCCUGUCAACGCUGCUGGCGCCGACGGUAAUAAUCCACGGCGCCGGGUUUGACAGGGUCGCCGCCGCCGGGCCCGAAUUUCCGGCGCUGCAGGCGACCACGAUAUUCUUUCUAACGGCGUGAAGCGCGCCGACGGCAAUGCCGUCCUGAUGAAACGGCGUGGGAGUUUUCGUCCCUAUGGAAAUGCUCAGCACAUUAACGCCGUCAGCGAUGGCAUCGUCGAUGGCGGCGAGCAUGUCGGCUUCGAAGCACGUGUUGCCGUCUUCUUUGCCUUCCCCCGGCACGGCCCAACACACUUUGUAAAUCGCCAGCCGAGCCAGCGGAGCGCCGCCGGAGGCGGUGCCGCGGGCGAAGCCUCCCAGGGCGGAGACGCGGUCGACGCUCCGGCCGGCGGCGGUGGAAGCGGUGUGGGUCCCGUGGCCGUCCUUGUCACGUGGGGAUCGGUAGUCAAGUGUCUUGUUGAGUGGGCCGUAGGAUGCUUCAUAGGCUUUGACGUAAAAUCUUGCGCCAAUAAUUUUCCUGGAAACAAAACAAGCUCUAGGGGAUUUAACCUAAUUUAAAAAAUUGUUAACUCUAGCUGUUAAUUAAACAAUAGUGGCAGACAGGCUAUAUAUAUAUAUAUAUAUAUAUACUAGAAGAAAGCAAAUUUAUACAAUAACAUAUCAUGUACUAGAUUGGAGUGAUAUAUGGACAG